Molecule: transfer RNA, 67 nt
Filed under: Haematopinus asini
Lineage: Eukaryota; Metazoa; Arthropoda; Insecta; Psocodea; Haematopinidae
Description: tRNA-Arg
Source: RNAcentral
GAAUGUUAACCACAGAGUGGACUUAAUUUCGGCUUAAGACUUUGCUAUUGAAUUUUAGCAACAUUUA